Molecule: ribosomal RNA, 862 nt
Filed under: uncultured archaeon
Lineage: Archaea
Description: bacterial SSU rRNA
Rfam family: Archaeal small subunit ribosomal RNA
Source: RNAcentral
UGCGAGUCGACACAGCAAUGUGCGGCAUACGGCUCAGUAACACGUAGUCAACAUGCCCAGGGGACGUGGAUAACCUCGGGAAACUGAGGAUAAACCGCGAUAGGUCACUACUUCUGGAAUGGGUAAUGACCCAAACCUAUAUGGCCCCUGGAUUGGACUGCGGCCGAUCAGGCUGUUGGUGAGGUAAUGGCCCACCAAACCUGUAACCGGUACGGGCUCUGAGAGGAGGAGCCCGGAGAUGGGCACUGAGACAAGGGCCCAGGCCCUAUGGGGCGCAGCAGGCGCGAAACCUCUGCAAUAGGCGAAAGCUUGACAGGGUUACUCUGAGUGAUUUCCGUUAAGGAGAUCUUUUGGCACCUCUAAAAAUGGUGCAGAAUAAGGGGUGGGCAAGUCUGGUGUCAGCCGCCGCGGUAAUACCAGCACCCCGAGUGGUCGGGACGUUUAUUGGGCCUAAAGCAUCCGUAGCCGGUUCUACAAGUCUUCCGUUAAAUCCACCUGCUCAACAGAUGGGCUGCGGAAGAUACUAUGGAGCUAGGAGGCGGGAGAGGCAAGCGGUACUCGAUGGGUAGGGGUAAAAUCCGUUGAUCCAUUGAAGACCACCAGUGGCGAAGGCGGCUUGCCAGAACGCGCUCGACGGUGAGGGAUGAAAGCUGGGGGAGCAAACCGGAUUAGAUACCCGGGUAGUCCCAGCUGUAAACGAUGCAGACUCGGUGAUGAGUUGGCUUUAUGCCAACUCAGUGCCGCAGGGAAGCCGUUAAGUUUGCCGCCUGGGGAGUACGGUCGCAAGACUGAAACUUAAAGGAAUUGGCGGGGGAGCACCACAAGGGGUGAAGCCUGCGGUUCAAUUGGAGUCAACGCCGGA